GACGAACGCUGGCGGCGUGCUUAACACAUGCAAGUCGAACGGAAAGGCCCUGCUUUUGUGGGGUGCUCGAGUGGCGAACGGGUGAGUAACACGUGAGUAACCUGCCCUUGACUUUGGGAUAACUUCAGGAAACUGGGGCUAAUACCGUAUAGGAGCUCCUGCUGCAUGGUGGGGGUUGGAAAGUUUCGGCGGUUGGGGCUGGACUCGCGGCUUAUCAGCUUGUUGGUGGGGUAGUGGCUUACCCAGGCUUUGACGGGUAGCCGGCCUGAGAGGGUGACCGGGCACAUUGGGCCUGAGAUACGGACCAGACGCCUACGGGGGGCAGCAGUGGGGAAUAUUGCACAGUGGGAGGAAGCCUGAGGCAGAAACGCCGCGUGCGGGAUGACGGCCUUCGGGUUGUAAACCGCUUUCGCCUGUGACGAAGCGUGAGUGACGGUAAUGGGUAAAGAAGCACCGGCUAACUACGUG
RNAcentral lists this ribosomal RNA (468 nucleotides) under uncultured bacterium. RNAcentral's name for it is "partial 16S ribosomal RNA". It matches the Rfam family "Bacterial small subunit ribosomal RNA", at positions 28 to 507 of the family's 1533-position model. The record is from RNAcentral.